GAUUAAGCCAUGCAUGUCUCAGUUCACACCCUCGCACGGUGAAACCGCGAAUGGCUCAUUAAAUCAGUCGAGGUUCCUUAGAUGAUCCAUUUCUACUUGGAUAACUGUGGCAAUUCUAGAGCUAAUACAUGCGGACCAGCUCCGACCCGGUGUCGCAGCCGGGAAAGAGCGCUUUUAUUAGUUCAAAACCAGUCGGCGGGUCCGCCCUUCGCGGGGCGCGGCCGCGGCCGUCUCCUUUUGGUGACUCUGGAUAACUUUGUGCCGAUCGCAUGGCCUCGAGCCGGCGACGCAUCUUUCAAAUGUCUGCCCUAUCAAAUGUCGAUGGUACAUGAUAGGCCUACCAUGUUGACUACGGGUGACGGGGAAUCGGGG
RNAcentral lists this ribosomal RNA (372 nucleotides) under Pila saxea. Its description in RNAcentral is "SSU rRNA". It matches the Rfam family "Eukaryotic small subunit ribosomal RNA", at positions 42 to 375 of the family's 1831-position model. The record is from RNAcentral. Lineage: Eukaryota; Metazoa; Mollusca; Gastropoda; Architaenioglossa; Ampullariidae.